AUGCUUUAAAGCCUUCCGCAGUAAGGAGGCAAGGGCAGCAGUUUCUAUGCUGUGCACGGGGGUUUGGAACAAGCAGAAAUCAUUGCUCGUCGCUCAGCACAAAGCUGGGACAGUUUACAAUAAAGGCAGCUCUUCCCACUUAAGGAAGUGGAGAUAUUUUAUUACGUCAACCAUAAAAGCGACUGAGACAGAAAGCUGGUGUCAAGAGCCGUGGCCGCCAUUGCUGUUGAGAAGUCCCCCAUGUGUUUCAUAGGAACUGGUUUGUGGGAGGAACGUGGGAUGGCUUGAGCGGAGCCCAAGAAACAGGUAAACAGCUUAGAGGGAGAUUCUGCUGGGAGUUUACCUGGAUGACGUUUCCUUUUAAAACAUGAAGACAACAGAGCCUGCUUAGAGCUUUCAGAGAGCUGGUCAGUAGUUAGAGGUUACAUCCUGCUGAAGAACUCAGCCUCCUCCCUCCUGCCCUGAAAUUUUAGUGAGGUGGACUCAGGAGCAAAGGACUAAUUAGUAAUUAACUAUGGCCGAAUUAUCAGGACAGCACAGUACAAAAGCUAUGUGGUUGCUGCAUGGAGUUGAAUGAAUGUUAUAGUGGAAAGCCAAAUUAAAAAUAAAGAUGUGAGCCGGGCGUGGUGGCGCACUCCUUUAAUCCCAGCACUCGGGAGGCAGAGGCAGACGGAUUUCUGAGUUCGAGGCCAGCCUGGUCUGCAAAGUGAGUUCCAGGACAGCCAGGGCUAUACAGAGAAACCCUGUCUCGAAAAACCAAAAAAAAAAAAAUGUGAAGAUACGCAAUCUGAAAAGGAAAGAAGUGUUCGAGAGUUUGCAGCUGUGGUCACAGCAAUGGCUGACUAUGAGAGAUUCAACCAGCAGCAUACUCUGCAUGGGGACAAAGGCCACGGUACCCUGAAAGCAAGACCUCACCCAGGAGUCCAGGGCGUAGCAACACAAAAAACAACUCAGGAAAAACCUUCCAUUUGAAAAGUGUUCACUGGAAUCCUGAGAAGGGACCGAUCACUCCAUAUAAAAUAUACUUCAUACGAAAUACAGUUUUUGAAAAAGAAACUUCAAGCGGGGCAGUGGGGGAGCGCACCUUUACUCACAGCACUGAGGAGGCAGAGGCAGGGAAAUAUCUGAGUUCCAGGCCUACGCAGUGAUACUCUCUCAAGAACAAAAGCAAGAGGUGAUGAGUGAGGCCUCCAGCCUUAGGAACCAACCAUUAAGUGAAUGUUCCCAGGGCACUGUGGCCUGGGCAUGGCGAGCACUAAAGCAACAAAGAUAUUGGCAAACUGGCAGAGCCCAGCCACAGCUCCUCAGCCAGGCAACUUCUGAGGGUGCUAGGAACAAACUGUCACUGUAGACACUGUGACCAUCCAAGGGGACGUCAGUCCUGGAAGCAGAGGAAGGUUUGCAGGAGGCUGCAGCUGAGGCUGUAACAAUGUGUGUGGCAAAUGCAGAGGGAAUGCACACAGAAAAUGGGGAGCGAAACUUCAGUGCUCAAGACUCCUUACCCAUCAAGAGAGCAUGGGGGCGUGCAUGUCCUCAAACUAUGCAGGCAGACAGAAAGCAAAUCACUAUUGAGAAUCCCAGAUAUCCCUAGGUAGGCUGUUUAAAUUGAGUUUCAUAAAAUAAUGUUUUUAAAAUUGUGUCACAUGGGGCUAGAGGGAUGGCUCAGCAGUUAAGAGAACUGGCUGUUCUUCCAGAGGACCUUGUUCAGUUCCCAGAAUCUACGAGACAGCUCACAACCAACUGUAACUCCAGUCUCAUGAGAUCUAACACCCUCCUCUACUCUCAGACUCACAUACACACACACUAAAAAACUAAAAGAAUUAAAAAUUAGGUCACUUGAAGGUUUUUAGUAUGUUCACAAAGUUGUACAACUAUUACCAACACAUCUAUUUUUUAUCAUUUUCUUUAAAACCCUCUACCAAUCGACUGCUAUCACCAACCUCUUUGGUACCUUCCCACCACUGAGCUUGAGUCUAUGGAGCUGCCUAUAGAUUUCAUCAUGUGAUUUUUGUCUAUCUGGCUUCUUAGUGUGUUUUCAUGGCUCAUGCAUAUACUUCGCAUGCUUUGAACUUCCUAAGUUUUUGUGUGGUUUCAAUUUCUUUGGUGUGUGAGAUUCUCAGCAGCUAAGAACAUUGGCUGCUCUUUCAAAGGACCUGGGUUCCCAAUUCUCAGCAGCUCACAGCUGUCUGUAAUUCUAGUCAAAGAAGUGCCUUCUUCAGCCCCCUGAAGGCCCUGCAUGCACGUGGUGCACAGAUAUACACGCAGGCAAAACACCCAUGUACAUAAUAUAAAAUAAAAAAUAAAGGAAAAAAAACGGUUCCCAGAAAAUUAAAAAAAAAAAAAAAUUUGAAGAAAAUUCUGCUUCCAGGAAACACAGCAAAGCCAAGUGUAAAAGAGAGAAAGCCCCAUUUGAAUAAGGCUUUUGUAGGCUAUGAGCUCAUGAUUCAGAACUGUGACUGGCCAUCCCCUGCCUCAGAGCUAAGAGGUGGGGACGAGUAGCCACCAAGGGGCUGUCAAAUAUCCUGGAGAAGACAUAAGCAGCAGAGACAGCAAAGGAGACUCUGGCGGAGGGAUAUACCCAAAAUGUACACGGUGCAAAGGGUAAGCAACCCUAGCCUGCUACUGGGCAGGGCAGCGUCUCUGCACUCAGGGAAGAGACAAGACUCUUCCUUACCUGCACACUACUAAUAAAAUGUGACCCUUUCCUAAACACAGUGCCUCUUCCCGAGGGCAUCGGUGCCUCUCGCAAGAGCCUGAACUUCUCCCAUUUGCUGUUCAACUGAUCGUGUCAUCCAGAAGCAUCUCCUGAUGUCUCCCCAGAGUCGGUGCAGUGAGUGCCCUGCACACAACGGAUGCUAAGUAGGCAUUGACAGACAGGAAAUUAUGCUCCCAUCAGAAGCACACAGCUGUGUUUUCAGUUCUGCUGAUUCAAUAUUUCCCAUCAGAAACAGCUUUCGGUCUUUCAGUACUGCAAGCGGUUUCUCCUCGUGCACAGGGGCACAGAAUGUAUGCAGUCCUCUGUGAUCAGAGGGAAUGCUGUGUGCAGCAACCCAAGGCACAUUAACAGUGAUUCACACAGCAGUCCUUUCCUCCCCUCCUUUCUCAGAUUGCUGGGAAAUCAAAUCUGGCCAUCAAGGUAAAUAGAAGCAGGGCUAGCUCUUCUGGUUACAGGAACAUCAAGAAGGGGGGAAAGGGGUCAACAGAUACAGGCUAUGUGGCAGCAAGGGCAAAGGGGCUCACUACCAGACACGGUCACCACAUGACCAUGGAGCCACACAGACAGCCAAAUGUCUAUUCCUGUCAUGUUAGUUACAAGUCAAGUGAUCAGCACAAAGCCAGACUAACUAUUGUAUAAUCAUAGACAAUUAUUUUGAACAACGUUAUCUUCAGCUAGACCUACUGUGCGGUUGGAAUUAGCAAAGUACAGGUCUACAGGCUGACUUUCCGGACAGGCAGAUGACACCAUAUUAGCUACAUUUCUCCUUUGUGCCCAAAAAACUGGCAACAAUUUAAGUGGAGGAGGAUUUAUAUGAGCAUGAGGUUUAAAAAGGGACAGUCCACUCUAGUGGGAAGGCAUGAUGGCAGGAAUGUGAACGACCAGUGAUACUGCCUGGAUGCAAGGUAGGAGGAAGAUGAGUGCCAGAGCGCCUCCUUCCACUCAGUCUGUAACUCCAAACCCUGGGGUCCAAAACACACUCACUCACACACACACAAAUGAGGGGAGCAAUUAAGUAAAAAAAAUUAAUUACUUAGCAUUUUCUGGAUCUUUUCUAUUAAUAUGGUUUAAUAAAAUACCCCCAAGCAGAAUGUUGCCCCGUGUGGGCUUCUGUUAACAUCAUAUAAAUUUUAGAACAAGGAAAGUGAUUUCUUUUCAGCAGCACAGCAGAGCCCUCUGGUGGCAACACACGGGACCUGCAUGGUCAUGAUUUUUAUAGGAAGCCAAAGUGACUUUAUGCUUUCAAUAAACAUAAAAUCUGUACAAACCUACACUCAAAAGAAUUAAUCCAAAUAUAAAAUGUGUAACUAUGAGACAUGGUGAUCUGUGUUAAAUAAAAGGAACUAUUUGAGCAAAUUAAGUCCUCCUUGAAAGAAAGGUGGACCUGCUGAGGUCCUCCAUGUAUCUGGCUCUUGGCAAAGUAAAAUGAAGCCAGGUCAGCCCAUUUCAGUCCCAUAGACCUGGCAGAACAUCUCUGCGUUGUCACUGCCUCCUGCUUAAAAAGUCUAAUUUUCCUGAUUUCUGUUUCUCCAGACAAUGUUUCUCUAACAGCCUUGACUGUCCUAGAAGUCACUUUGGAGACCAGCUGGCCUUGAACUCAUAGAGAUCUACCUGCCUCUGCCUCCAUAGGAUGGAAGGUAUGAGCCACCACGCCCAGUUUUACAGUCUCCAUGCUGAACAUUCCUGACUGUCUUUUCUGCAGAGCUAGACAACAGCAAAGGCGUCUCUGACUGAGUAACACUGUGGCUCCCCUCUAACCCCAUCUCUCUCAGAUAAUGGAGCUUGUAUCCAAACAAACCAUGAAGGCAGAUCUUCUGGACAAUGAGAUGCUUCCAAUGCAAUACAUCCUUACUGAGAAACCAGAAUUACAUUCAGUCUUAACAGACUUGUUUUUGUGUGUGAGUAUUUAUCUGUGUGUGUGCAGUGUCCACAGAGCCAGAGACUCCUGAUCACUCGGAGCUGGAGUUACAGGUUCCUGUGAGCCUUUAAGUGCUAGGAAUCAAACCUGGGUCCUCUGCAAGAGCACUAACUGCUGAGCCAUUAAAAAAAAAAAAAAGAAAAAAUUCAGGGGCUGGAGAGGUGGCUCAGCGGUUAAGAGCACUGACUGCUCUUCCAGAGGUCCUGACUCCAAUUCCCAGCAACCACAUGACUCACAACCAUCUGUAAUGGGAUCCAAUGCCCUCUUCUGGUGUGUCUGAACAUAGUGACAGUGUACUCAGAUACAUAAAAUAAAUAAUUCUUCUUAAAAAUGCAGACUAAGACUGAGUUUACACUGACAUACUUUUUUAAAAAAUUAGUAAUGUUUUUGUUGUUUUAUUUUAUUUUUUUUUUAUUUUUGUUUUUGAGACAGGGUCUUCUCUCUACAUAGCCCUGGCUGUUCUGGAACUCACUAUGUAGACCAGGCUGCCCUGGUCACAAAGAUCCACCUGCCUCCCCAGCUAGGGACAGGAUCAAGCAUGCACCAUCACACCUGGCAGUAAGGAUUUUUUAACUGAGUGCUGGUCUCAAAAUUGUAAUGUUUUCCAUGUUUUCUCUAUAACACAACACUGUUACAGACUUUACAAACUGUCUUUCACUGACUUACUACAUUUGAUUUUAACCAAGAAACUGAGAAAUGAUUUCUUCUUUUACUAACCCUAAUACAACAAUGACCAUCUAUUUUUCUAAAGGUAGCAAAGGUUUUCACUGUAAGCAGUCUAGUAUCUACACAUGUGGUUUUUAGCUUUGUGCAUAUUUUCUUAAGGUGGAAAGGAAGCCAGUAGAGAAAAUUGUCAACAUCAAUUCCUGUUUCAUUUCCAAUACCUGGGAGUAUAAUUCAGAAAUAAGAGGAGAGAUGCGGGGCUGGAGAGAUGGCUCUGUGGUUAAGAACACUGUUCUGCUGAAAGUCCUGAGUUCAAAUUCCAGCAACCACAUGGUGACUCACAACCACCCACAAUGAGAUCUGCCGCCCUCUUCUGGGGUGCCUGAACAGCUACAGUGAACUUACAUAUAAUAAAUAAGCCUUUAAAAAAAUAAAUUAAAAGGGGGGAGGGGCACUCACAGUACUGAGUGGAUGAGCACAAAGGAGUGCUCUGAAGACACUACCUGAUGUGUGCCUGCUCUAAAAUCCAUCAGGACAAGCUCCACAGAGGCUCCUUUAAGAACAACUAGAGCAGAAGUGCAGAGGCAAUCUAUCUUCUGGGCACUGUGCUGUAGGUCACUAAAGCACGACUCACCAUCUGAGACUACUCUGGGCUCCUGCCAAACACCAACACAGUUUAGUACCUGGGUAAUCCACUCUCCAAGCUCAUUUCUAUUGCAAAGAGUAAGGGGUGUGCUCCGGCCACUCACAUGACACCGAGGAUGUCAUGGGAAGAUCCCAGCAGUCAGAAAUGAUAAGAUUGAAACAUGUCUCUGACACAAAGUUUGUGAGCCCAAGUUGUAGGGCUGGGGAAUGUAGUGGUGGAAUGACUGGUUACCUAGCACGUGUCAGCCCUGGGUUCUAUGCCCAGCAUCACACAUGCAUGUGCACAUGUAUGUAUUUGUGGCUUAACUCCUACACUGAAACAGGGCUGACCAUUCUAUCACCACAGACAAAGGCUACGGCAUCAGGUAAGAAUGGUCUCCAAAUGUUUUCAAGACGUCUUACAAUUACCUAGGCUUCAUAGAGGAGACCCAGGAGACUCCUUGGGAAGAAGGCAAGGGAACAGGACCAAUCCUCUCCCAAAUGGUGGCUGCCAGCAACACCACCACUACUCCACCAUGGACUGAACUCACUGACACUGAAGCUGCUUUAAGACUAUGCUCCCAGCCGGGCGGUGGUGGUGCACACCUUUAAUCCCAGCACUUGGGAGGCAGAGGCAGGCGGAUUUCUGAGUUCCAGGCCAGCCUGGUCUACAGAGUGAGUUCCAGGACAGCCAGGGCUACACAGAGAAACCCUGUCUCGAAAAACCAAAAAAAAAAAGGCUAUGUUCCCGACACAAACUUGAUUUGAUUUGUCAGCAUUUCUAGCCUUUAGACUCCCCAACAGUGUGUCCCCCAAAGUUCUAUGUUCCCAUAUUAGUCACCGUGAAGCAGCUUCCAGCCAUAGUAAACACAUGUGUUAAGCUCCUGCCAGGCAACACUGAGCUAUCUGUGCACAUAUAUAGGGGGUUCCAGUUACUCAUUACAAUAGCCUUUUACCAUCUCCACGGGGAUGGGCCUGGGACUCACAACCUCUGUAACAUUGUACACAACGAAAGGGACAGUAAAGUGCCAGAGCUUCAAACACACACUAAGAAUUCACACGGGAGCAGGGUCUUUACCCACUCAGUUCAGAAUUAGAGCCCAAACACAACCUUAAAGCCUACUGUCUAAACACAUUUCCUUAUCCACAUCCCUCAGAUACUAAGGUUCAAAGAGCACUUGCAAAAGAAAGGAAAAAACCUACAAAAAUGUCUUGACACUGAAGUGGAAGAUGUUCAGCUUCCUCCUGUCUACAGGAAACAGGAACUAAAACUGCAUCCCUGCCACAUGUGGUUGCCUUGCCUUUUAAUCCCAGCACUUGAGGCAGAGGCAGGCAGCUCUCUUCAAGGCCAGCCUGAUCUACACAGUGCGUUCCAGGUCAACCAGAGUUAAGUAAUGAGACUCUGUGCCAACGACAAUCACAGCCUGCAUUUCUAACAUGUCUGGAAUUUAGAAUUCUGACCAGUAAUUUGGCAGCAUGUGUCAAAUUUUAAUAUAUACACUCAUAGAGUCUCUUACUGGGUGCAUCUGAAGUGCAGAGACCUAUGCAAGGAUGUGUAAAGAGGCCCUGCAGCACUUUGGACACCUCGACACCAGAAGGCAGUGAGGGACACUUGGUAGACCAGCAUGGUCAGGAAGGUGGAGAGCCGCAGCCACGUGGUCUCAGCGUGCAGUAUAGUCCUUAUUUUCUUCAAGAAGCUCUAAGUUGAGGGCGAGUGGAGGGAGCAGGGAGGAGGGAGACAAGCUGGGUAAGAUAAGAUGUUGGACAUGGGAAAGGGCCACAAACCUCCUGAGGGUAGAAAUUAGCAAGGCAGGGGUAUCUCUCACAUGUUCUGCUUUGUAGACAUUUGUAUGUUACUAGUAGAUAAUUACUUAUGAAACAAAAUGCAAAAUCCCAAAUAGCAAAGCUGCUGACGGCUGAUUUUCUAACGGAUAAGGCAGUGCAGACUAGUUCUCCACUCACAAAGCUGUGUGACUUACAGGAGUACAGUGUUACCUCAACUCCACCCUGAGUUCUUCCUAAAUUUUACGUCAAGUUGUUCACUUCAGGGACUGUACCAGAAAGGCAAAGUAAAAGUGAGGCCUUUAUGAUUAUCAACAUCAAAAAAACAAACGUAAAGACUUAGACAAAAUAAAUGACUAGCACUGCAUAGUUUUGCUACACUUUAUUCAAAACUGGUCCCACUUCUUAUUUAAGAGAGCUAAACGCCCAGUGUCCAAAUAUAAAUAUCACCAUGUGUUGGAAAAAUAACCUUCUGAUUUGCGCUCUGACCCAAAUUUGGCACAACUAAAUCCUAUGCGAGUCAGACAGGAGUGCUCAGAGCUCGGCAGCAGCAGCCCCUGAAGCAGCCCAGGAGGCGGCGGCCCCUGGAGCCUCUCAAGUCACACACAGCACAGUGGGCACAGGUUCUUUUAUUCUGUCCUGUGGGGUCAACAGUGCUGACAAGAUAGUCAGAGCAUUCCAAAAGCACACACCUGAACGUUGUCACAUAGCACUACAUCACAACUUAGUAACUACUCAACAGUUAUGUCUACUAAUACAGUGAAUGAAAUGGUAUGCUUAGACCAUUCCCUGUAAACAAGGCUGUGCACAACAGUAACACACAGAAUUAUGCAUACCAUGAUAUCAAGGAGGAAAAUACCUCUUUAAAUAAACUAUUCUAUUUAUAAAUAAACUCUGAUUUUUUUCAGUACACAUUUACAGACCUGAUCAA
This is a long non-coding RNA of Mus musculus (house mouse), 8634 nucleotides long. RefSeq annotates it as predicted gene, 53877. Lineage: Eukaryota; Metazoa; Chordata; Mammalia; Rodentia; Muridae. The record is from RefSeq and is a predicted model, not a curated record. The transcript has 2 exons.